Molecule: ribosomal RNA, 164 nt
Filed under: Cyrtomaia owstoni
Lineage: Eukaryota; Metazoa; Arthropoda; Malacostraca; Decapoda; Inachidae
Description: partial 16S ribosomal RNA
Source: RNAcentral
ACUUUAUAAAUAAUUAAGAUUUUAUUAAAGCUUAAAUAAAAAUUUUAUCUUUUUAUUUUAUUUUGUUGGGGCGACAAAGGUAUAAUUUAUUUAGCUACCUAACUUUUAUACAAAUUUUUCGAUUUUAUCUCUUUGAUCCUUUCUAAAGAUUAAAAGACUAAGUU